AAUAGAUACCCAGGUAGUCCACGCCGUAAACGAUGAGUGCUAAGUGUUAGGGGGUUUCCGCCCCUUAGUGCUGCAGCUAACGCAUUAAGCACUCCGCCUGGGGAGUACGGUCGCAAGACUGAAACUCAAAGGAAUUGACGGGGGCCCGCACAAGCGGUGGAGCAUGUGGUUUAAUUCGAAGCAACGCGAAGAACCUUACCAGGUCUUGACAUCCCAUUGACCACUAUGGAGACAUAGUUUUCCCUUCGGGGACAACGGUGACAGGUGGUGCAUGGUUGUCGUCAGCUCGUGUCGUGAGAUGUUGGGUUAAGUCCCGCAACGAGCGCAACCCUUGUUCUUAGUUGCCAUCAUUUAGUUGGGCACUCUAAGGAGACUGCCGGUGACAAACCAGAGGAAGGUGGGGAUGACGUCAAAUCAUCAUGCCCCUUAUGACCUGGGCUACACACGUGCUACAAUGGACGGUACAAACGGUUGCCAACCCGCGAGGGGAGCUAAUCCGAUAAAACCGUUCUCAGUUCGGAUUGUAGGCUGCAACUCGCCUAC
Molecule: ribosomal RNA, 543 nt
Filed under: uncultured bacterium
Lineage: Bacteria
Description: bacterial SSU rRNA
Rfam family: Bacterial small subunit ribosomal RNA
Source: RNAcentral